GGCGAGGCGGGGGGCAAGCCCAGCCCCGAGUUCAAAGCGGGCAGGUGCCGGGAGGGACAGGGCGCCCGGACGGCUCCGCUGGCGCCCCGGGCGCGGAGGAGGGCUCCUGGGACGCCCGUCGCGGGAGUUUGGCUGGGGGUGCGGAGGGGAUGGAGACUGCAGUUUUCCGCUGGCUCCCUCCUCUUGCUGGGGGACAAGGGACGACCUCUGCUCCUUCCUUCUGGCUCUCCCUCACCAACCCCAGCCUCCCUACUUGUGACCGCGCGCGGCCUUUCUCCAGACGGCCUCAGCCCAAACACUUGUGUCUCUCGGAGACUCCCUGCUGCCUCCUCACUGCUGCGGUCCCGGCUCUUUCCACCCACGAGCCCUCCUUCGCCCACUCCAAAACCUCCCCGGUGCUUCCUAUCCCUUCUCUCUGCGUCGCUAGCGGCGUCCCAGGGCCGGACCCUCUUCCCCUACUGCUCGGCUGAGCUGUGGCUCUGCCGCGACCUGUCGAACAAGCGGGUCUCUCCCUCUAACCCCUGCCCCGUUCGCAGACACCUUCAGAGCUGGGCCCUGCGUCUUCCCGACCCCAGCCCUUCCUGGGUCCUCCGUCGACUCCGUUCUCCGCCGCUGCGUCCCGCUCCCCAGGCUCCCCGCCACCCUGAUAGCUCUUCUCCCCAGCCCGCCGCUCUUGGUUUCUGCUCAGGACUCCACGCUGUGCCUGGGAAGCAGAGCUCAGGGUUUGUUUGUUUUCCUACGGGGGAAACUUUAAAAUCGCCGUGGUUUGGCUCACAAAGAAGCCCUAACAGGAAGGCUCAGCCGCCGAGAGAACCUGGAUCUGGAGUCCGAGAUGGGGGGAGAUUGUGUCGCGCGUCGGAAAGGCGUCUUGGGAUGAGCGUACAAAGUAAAUUUCAAAACGGAGGUGGUUGCUGUAGCCUGGACUCUCCUUCCCUGGCUGGUUGCGUCCCGCGGAGUAUUAUUGUGACCCCUGCUGGGAGGGCGCGUCUUUUCUCCGCACUUUUUAAAGCGCCUUUUUAUCCCCCCUUGAUGGUGGUGCUGGUGACCCGGGCGGGGGGUGGGGGAAGAGUGGGUGGGCACGAGGGAAAGCUGCCUGCAGAGGCUGAUGCCACUUGGGUCCUGCCUUGGUCGCUCCCGAACCCGCCAGAUUGUGUAUGUUUCACUCUAAACUACCCGCCUCCCCCCAACUGCAUCGCACAAGUCCUCAUUGUUGGGGGUCGCCCUGGGCACUUCCGCCUGGGCAGGGAGAGUCUGAAGGAAUGGGGUGGGGGUUGGGAGGCCAGGGGCGCUCGGCGACCGUGCUCCGGCUGUCGCCGGAGGCUCGGCGGUGUUCGGAGCGGAGAGCGCCCCGGCGCGGGCAUCUGUGCGCUCCCGCGAGUGUCUGCGAGCUUGGCUGCGUGCUGGCGUGGGUCGGUGCCUGCCUGUGCAUUUGGAGGCCUGCGCACGCCUGGGCUUAGAUCCUUCGAAAAAUCGGCAAGUGGAAAGCUUGCGGAAUCGAGUGCGUCUUUUGCUGCCCGGGAGCUGGGCGGGCGGUCCGGCUAG
This 1542-nucleotide long non-coding RNA is filed under the name Felis catus (domestic cat). Its description in RNAcentral is "lncRNA (ENSFCAG00000049216.1)". Lineage: Eukaryota; Metazoa; Chordata; Mammalia; Carnivora; Felidae. The record is from RNAcentral.